UUAGAGGAAGUAAAAGUCGUAACAAGGGUCUCCGUUGGUGAACCAGCGGAGGGAUCAUUAUCGAGUUACCGCUCCUUAUAACCCUUUGUGAACAUACCCCAAACGUUGCCUCGGCGGGCAGCCGGAGCCUAGCUCCGUCGCCCGGAGCCGCCGUCUCGGCGCGCCCCACCCGCCGGCGGACCACCAAACUCUAUUUAAACGACGUCUCUUCUGAGUGGCACAAGCAAAUAAUCAAAACUUUUAACAACGGAUCUCUUGGUUCUGGCAUCGAUGAAGAACGCAGCGAAAUGCGAUAAGUAAUGUGAAUUGCAGAAUUCAGUGAAUCAUCGAAUCUUUGAACGCACAUUGCGCCCGCCAGCAUUCUGGCGGGCAUGCCUGUUCGAGCGUCAUUUCAACCCUCAAGCACCGCUUGGCGUUGGGGCCCUACGGCUUCCGUAGGCCCCGAAAUACAGUGGCGGACCCUCCCGGAGCCUCCUUUGCGUAGUAACAUACCACCUCGCACUGGGAUCCGGAGGGACUCCUGCCGUAAAACCCCCCAAUUUUCCAAAGGUUGACCUCGGAUCAGGUAGGAAUACCGCUGAACUUAGCAUAUCAAUAGAAGGAAGGGGAGGAAGAGAGGGGGGAAGGAA
RNAcentral lists this ribosomal RNA (629 nucleotides) under Colletotrichum gloeosporioides. RNAcentral's name for it is "eukaryotic LSU rRNA". The stretch from base 236 to 389 matches the Rfam family "5.8S ribosomal RNA". Lineage: Eukaryota; Fungi; Ascomycota; Sordariomycetes; Glomerellales; Glomerellaceae. The record is from RNAcentral.